GAUGAAGAACGCAGUGAAAUGCGAUAAUUAAUGUGAAUUGCAGAAUUCAGUGAAUCAUCGAGUCUUUGAACGCACAUUGCGCCCCCUGGUAUUCCGGGGGGCAUGCCUGUCCGAGCGUCAUUGCUGCCCUCAAGCACGGCUUGUGUGUUGGGCUUCCGUCCCUGGCAACGGGGACGGACCCAAAAGGCAGUGGCGGCACCAUGUCUGGUCCUCGAGCGUAUGGGGCUUUGUCACCCGCUCCCGUAGGUCCAGCUGGCAGCUAGCCUCGCAACCAAUCUUUUUAACCAGGUUGACCUCGGAUCAGGUAGGGAUACCCGCUGAACUUAAGCAUAUCAAUAAGCGGAGGA
RNAcentral lists this unclassified non-coding RNA (347 nucleotides) under soil metagenome. RNAcentral describes it as "partial contains 5.8S ribosomal RNA, internal transcribed spacer 2, and large subunit ribosomal RNA". The stretch from base 1 to 120 matches the Rfam family "5.8S ribosomal RNA", at positions 35 to 154 of the family's 154-position model. The record is from RNAcentral.